Manduca sexta (tobacco hornworm) is the source of this 2737-nucleotide long non-coding RNA. RefSeq lists it as uncharacterized. The record is from RefSeq and is a predicted model, not a curated record. NCBI's taxonomy places the organism in Eukaryota, Metazoa, Arthropoda, Insecta, Lepidoptera, Sphingidae. The transcript has 2 exons.
CUACCAGCGCACCGCCUUACCGGCGCCUUAACUCCCGCCAUUACGCCAUUACGCUCUCACGCCGCCAUUUUGUUUACAAGGUGAGUGCUAACGGCGCCGAGGAACUAACAGGAGUCGCGGCGCCCGCCGGCCGUCGCCGCGUAACAUUAUCAUCGGAACAUCGACCACCAUGUAGCUAUAGCUGUUGGGCCUUUCACGUUAACAUAUACUAUGUAUUAUAAUAGUCUAACUAUUAACAUUUAUAUGCCUGUUAUGUUUAUAACAUGAUGAAACUUUAUUAACAAUUAUAUUUUUUUUUUAUAUGAAAUGGCACACGCCAUCGACUAUAUUUACUAUAUUGUAACUUAUUGUACUUCUGUUGUCGCUUGAUCGUGUCGUUGUUGAAGCACGAGUGUUGUUAGGCUACCCACACUCACAGCGCUAAACGUGCUCAUAUUAGCUUCUAAUAUAGUUUUUAUUUCCUAUUGGAUAACAUUUUGUAAUGUUUAUAUAUUUUAUUAUCGCGCGUUUAGCGCUGACGUAUUGAAAUGAUACAAUUAGCAUUCUAAAUUUUAUCACGGAAUCUGAACAGCAAUCGCUUGUCUGAAAUAUUUUCUAAUUUUCGGACUUCAUUGACCUCUCGAUCGCUGUAAAGACCAAGUGAUACCCGCAUAUUACAAAAAUAUUUAAAAAGUAACGAACUUAUGGAUGUCGCGCUGAAAGUACCAAUAUGGCGUCAGAAAAAACAAGAUGGCGGUAGUCGCAAGUAUCAUUGGUCAAGUAAGUAUAUCCAUACAAUGCAAAACAUAAAAUUGCUUAUAUUUUCAUAUUCGACUGAUAUCUGAAGUAAUGUCUAGCCCGUGUUCAUAGAUUCAUUGACCCGACAAAACUUUGGCAAUAUACAGUAAAACCAAAGACUUCGUUUUAGUGUUUUUCGAGAGCUAUUCCUGAUGAAAUUGACAUCAUUAACGUCUUCCCUUUAAAUAUAUAGGUCAGUGAGUGCAUGAAAACGCAUACAAAAUCAAUAUAUUUAUAGCAUUGUAUUUUAAAUGUUAGUGCUUAAUAUUUAUACAUAAAAAAUAAUUGUGCAUUAAACGUGCCUUAAUAAAUGUACAAUGUAGCACUCGUGUGCUUUUAUAGAAUUGUUAAUUGCUUCGUAGUGAUGUAAGUUAGAUGAGAUUAAAUUAUUUGUUAACUUUGCUAAAUGUUAAAACUAUAACUACGAUUUCUUAUAAGGAUUUAGGUUAGGCAUAGUAGUUUUCAAAUGUUUUUUAUAACAUUUUUAUAUAGGUAAUUGAUAAAGUAUAUUGGAUGUGCCUAUGAUACAAAUCUCCGCUAGGAAUCUCGGAUACGAUCGUCUAACUCAAAAUAUCAGAGAUCUGUGUAGGUAUCAAGGAACAACAUUGAUAUUGUUAAUCUCAUAUUUUAAUAAGGCAGCGUUCGAAUAAUACGUAAUCACGAUUGUGAAAGCGAUUUUCGAAAUUAUUUUUUUAUUGCGAAUAGAGAAAGAGGAAAAAUAUCUUUUUUUACAUUUACAAUCAUUUUCUAAAGAGGUUGAUGGACCAAAAAUAUUAACGUAAUAUUUGGACGCCUCUAAAAAUGUAACAAAGGUCAUAUAGUAUGUUGUAAUUGUUGUGUAUAAAGAUUAUUGUUUAAAAGCAAUAUUAUAUGUAACAUUAACUUGUAGUGCAAUAGAAAUGUUAUUUUCUAAUUAAAUUUUAUUAUAUCUCAACAUAAAAUCUAGUUGGGUGAAUAUUUUUUACAAGUAAUAGAGAUCUGAUAUUGAGAUUAAUUUGUUAAAUGAAAUGAAUAUCAAUUUCGUUAAUUUGUGAAUAAAAAUAUAUUUUCCUUAAAAAUUAUAAAUCUAGUAUAAAAUUUGAUAAGUAAAAAUAAAGCGAUAAAAAUGGUAUAUUUAGAUGAAAAAUAUUUAGGUGCUUUUAUGAAAUCGAGGAAACAUUCAAAACAUGGGUCACAAUCAAUUGAAUUUGUUUGAAAUAAUUUUUUCUUUCACGUAUCAUAGAAGUUGUUAAUUCUCCGUCCAUGGUAUUUCAUAAAGUAAGUACUUAAUUUCGUUGGUCUGCCAUUCUACGUUCUCAUAUCAUUAAAAUUAAACAAAUAAUAUUCUUUUUAUAAUCCAUUAAACUUAUUUUUAAAUAUUUUUGUCGUUAAAUAAUUCAUGGUAUUUCUAAUCAAUAACAGUACCUAUAAUCAAAAACUAAAAUCUAUGAAUUAUUAUGCUUUGGAGACCCGAAGUAGAGCAGCAGAUUUUCAUUAUGUACAAAUAUAAACAAGCAUUUAUCUUCAUGCAAACGCCAUAGAAACGGUAACGAAGGAUAAUACAUUUAACUGUUCAUGUUCUAAAUACAGAUUGUGAUGAAAUAGAAAUAACAACGUACAAAUUAUUAUUAUAUUUGUCUGCAUAAAAAUAUAUUGUGCCGUGUUUCAUAGUGAUAGCAAAACUAUUUGUGUCUUGAAACAUGUUUAGUGCCAUCUGCAGACGGGCUUUUCAUUUGUUUUUUUUAUUAUUAAUUUGUACUUAUUAUAAAACUAUACUAUAGUAUGGCAAUAUAAGAGUGCCUUAAUGAUCUUUGUACAUAUUUAUUCUUUCACUAAAGUAUUAAUAUGGAAAAAUAAAAAACACAAUAAUUUCCAAAAAUAAAUAAUACUUUUUUUUAUGGAUUUUAGUUAAGUGAGAAUGUGCAUAUUUUGUUUUGAUGUGUGUGAUUGAUUUGGUAUUAGUAAAUAAUCCGAAAAUGUA